GUCAGGAAGUACACGCUGAGGUAUUUAGCAGUAAAAUGGCGUCAUCUCUUCAACUCUCAACUCACCCUCAGUCGAUUCAGGGAAAUGCGCAUAUGCAGACACAGGCACAUGCAAACACAUGUAAACACAUGCGCAAACAUGCAAACACAUAUAAACAUGCGUGAACGGCAGAACAGCAGGAAGGUAACGCCAGAGAGAAUUGGGAACAGCAGGAAGGUAAUGCGUGAGAAGUGGGAAUGGCAGGAAGGUAAUGGCAUGAGGAGAAGUAGGAACAGAAGGAAGGUAACGCCAGUGAGAAGUGGGAACAGAGGGAAGGUAACGCCAGUGAGAAGUGGGAACAGAGGGAAGGUAACACCAGUGAGAAGUGGGAACGGCGGGAAGGUAACACCAGUGAGAAGUGGGAACGGCGGGAAGGUAACGCCGUGAGAAGUGGGAACAGCAGGAAGGUAACACCAGUGAGAAGUGGGAACGGCGACGCCGGUGAGGGGAAGUGGGAACAGUUGGUGAAUUCGCCUAAGGCUCUAAUGGCAGUUCCUUGUCGUAUUCUUGUGACUUUUACAUAUGUUUGACGUUGUAUCAAAAUGAACUGGUGGCCACGCGGGACAGA
Molecule: long non-coding RNA, 607 nt
Filed under: Pan troglodytes (chimpanzee)
Lineage: Eukaryota; Metazoa; Chordata; Mammalia; Primates; Hominidae
Description: long non-coding RNA NONPTRT002416
Source: RNAcentral